Long non-coding RNA from Arachis duranensis, 2214 nucleotides. RefSeq lists it as uncharacterized. NCBI's taxonomy places the organism in Eukaryota, Viridiplantae, Streptophyta, Magnoliopsida, Fabales, Fabaceae. The transcript is spliced from 3 exons. The record is from RefSeq and is a predicted model, not a curated record.
GGUUCAGGGUGCUGUCAGAUGAUGCUAUGGAGGAGACCGUACGCAUAUAUGCACAGGCUUAUAUUAUGAUGCUGCUUUCCACUCAGUUGUUCAGUGACAAGAGUGGAAACUAGGUUCAUAUACGGUGGUUGCCCUUUGUGGCGAGACUUGAUGAUAUGGGCAGUUAUAGCUGGGAGUCGGCAGCGUUAGCCUGGCUAUAACAUUGCAUGUGACGAGUGGCCAACAGAAACGUGACAAACUUGGCAGGCCCCCUGCAGCUACUACAGUCAUGGAUUUUCUGGCGGUUUCCUAGCCUCAAGCUGCGGGGAUUCGACACGUAUUCCUUUCAAUUGGCAUCCAGAUAUACAUAUUUGUACAGUGGGCCACCUACUUGCCUUCAUCCGACCGCAAGGAGGAGAGAGUCAUCCAGUAUCGCCUAGCUUUGGACCGAUUAGGUGAUCGAAAUAUUGUUUGGGAGCCUUACGCUUCGCUCGACGUGAUGGUUGUUGUUCAUUCAGAGAUUCUCAUAGAGGAGCACAGUCGGUUAUGGCGUGCAUGUACUUGCUUGAUAUACUUCGCCGUUAUUGAGUGGCACCAGGUGGAUAGGGUGCUGCCACAGCUGGGUGGCGUUUAGCACGAGCCUAAGCCGGCCUCGAACAUUGAUUGUCUCCAUGCCAAGGAUGGGAAGGGUGGGGACAGAUGGUUCCCGAGCUACUACCAGGUAUGGCACCUUAGUUGGCAGAACAGGGUCGAUGCUGUCCUGAGUAUCCCCCGGGUGCCCGAUCACGGGCCGUCUGCAGACUUUCUACGAUGGUGGUAUAGAGUGGCCCUUAUGUUUCUGUCGCCAGAUUCCUUGAUUGCCGAUCCUAGGGCCGAGGAGAUCUCACAGGAUGUUGCUCAGAGAGGGUCGACACGGGCUCCUUCUAGGGUACCCAUGCCAGACGUGCCAGAUAACAGGCGCGUCGAGCGGCAACGACGCGUUGGUACUCAAGCUAUAGACCGGAAGUGGCGAUGGCUGGAUGGCAUGAUUUAGGAUGACAGGUCUGGUGGCGACGGAGUCGGACAUGCCAAUCACCGUGUCCGGUGUGGCUGUCCUCAGCGUCGGGGUGAUUCAUCAGGGGGCACAUCUAUUGGUCCUGGUGAUAGACCCGCUGAGCAUGCAGGGGUGGAGACCCAGGAGGUUCCUCUUACACAUGUUUCGAGCUCCCAGAUAUACCAUGACAUCUAUGGCCAGAUGUUUGAUGACCUGGCGGGUCUGACUUUCACGAUGGAUACGAACUACGAGGUUAGGAGUUCACAGUUCUAUUUCGACUUUGCAGAUCUCAUCCGGGAUGACGACCCUCCAUAUUUUCAGCAGCAGAUCCCACAGGAUUAGGUGCCUGAGACCCAGCUCCAGAUGGACGUUUCGCAGGGGUCCCGCCCAGAUAUGGAUGAUAUGCCGUGAUACCAGUCGCAGAUGUCUGACCCUCAUGGAUUCUAGCCCCAGCUACAUGUAAACCUGAAUGAGGCCGCUGGCAGUCCGUAUGACAGUUGGUUGGGCAUGAGAGGGACGCUGGUGCACGAAAUUGUGAUACACAAUGGCGUCAACAACUUGUAUGCACAAUUGCAAUCUCACUUCUUUUUCACAACUUCACAUAACUAACUAGCAAGUGCACUAAGUCGUCCAAGUAAUAAACCUUACGUGAGUAAGGGUCGAUCCCACAGAGAUUGUCGGCUUGAAGCAAGCUAUGGUCACCUUGUAAAUCUCAGUCAGGCGGAUUCAAAUGGUUAUGGAGUUUUAAUAAUUAAAAAGAUAAAUAAAACAUAAAGUAAAGAUAGAGAUACUUAUGUAAUUCAUUGGUGAGAAUUUCAGAUAAGUGCAUAUAGAUGCUUUGUUCCUGUUGAAUCUCUGCUUUCCUACUGCCUUCAUCCAAUCCUUCAUACUCUUUUCCAUGGCAAGCUGUAUGUUGGACAUCACCGUUGUCAAUGGCUACUUCCCAUCCUCUCAGAGAAAAUGGUCCAAUGCGCUGUCACCGCACGACUAAUCAUCUGUUGGUUCUCGAUCAUGUUGGAAUUGAAUCCAGUGAUCCUUUUGCGUCUGUCACUACGCCCAACACUCGCGAGUUUAAAGCUCGUCACAGUCAUCCCUUCCAGAUCCUACUCAAAAUACCACAGACAAGGUUUAUACUUUCCGGAUCUCAGGAAUGGCCGCCAAUAAUUCUAGCUUAUACCACGAAGACUCCGAUCUUUUGGAAU